RNAcentral lists this ribosomal RNA (396 nucleotides) under uncultured bacterium. RNAcentral describes it as "bacterial SSU rRNA". It matches the Rfam family "Bacterial small subunit ribosomal RNA", at positions 361 to 774 of the family's 1533-position model. The record is from RNAcentral.
AUAUUGCACAAUGGGGGAAACCCUGAUGCAGCGAUGCCGCGUGAAGGAAGAAGUAUCUCGGUAUGUAAACUUCUAUCAGCAGGGAAGAAAAUGACGGUACCUGACUAAGAAGCACCGGCUAAAUACGUGCCAGCAGCCGCGGUAAUACGUAUGGUGCAAGCGUUAUCCGGAUUUACUGGGUGUAAAGGGAGCGUAGACGGAUAGGCAAGUCUGGAGUGAAAGCCCGGGGCCCAACCCCGGGACUGCUUUGGAAACUGUUUAUCUAGAGUGCUGGAGAGGUAAGUGGAAUUCCUAGUGUAGCGGUGAAAGGCGUAGAUAUUAGGAGGAACACCAGUGGCGAAGGCGGCUUACUGGACAGUAACUGACGUUGAGGCUCGAAAGCGUGGGGAGCAAACA